This 253-nucleotide ribosomal RNA is filed under the name uncultured bacterium. Its description in RNAcentral is "partial 16S ribosomal RNA". It matches the Rfam family "Bacterial small subunit ribosomal RNA", at positions 524 to 776 of the family's 1533-position model. The record is from RNAcentral.
UACGUAGGCUCCGAGCGUUGUCCGGAAUUAUUGGGCGUAAAGAGCUCGUAGGCGGUUUGUCGCGUCUGCUGUGAAAUCCCGAGGCUCAACCUCGGGUCUGCAGUGGGUACGGGCAGACUGGAGUGCGGUAGGGGAGAAUGGAAUUCCUGGUGUAGCGGUGGAAUGCGCAGAUAUCAGGAGGAACACCGAUGGCGAAGGCAGUUCUCUGGGCCGUAACUGACGCUGAGGAGCGAAAGCGUGGGGAGCGAACAGG